GACGAACGCUGGCGGCGUGCUUAACACAUGCAAGUCGAACGGAAAGGCCCUGCUUUUGUGGGGUGCUCGAGUGGCGAACGGGUGAGUAACACGUGAGUAACCUGCCCUUGACUUUGGGAUAACUUCAGGAAACUGGGGCUAAUACCGGAUAGGAGCUCCUGCUGCAUGGUGGGGGUUGGAAAGUUUCGGCUGUUGGGGAUGGACUCGCGGCUUAUCAGCUGGUUGGUGGGGUAGUGGCUUACCAAGGCUUUGACGGGUAGCCGGCCUGAGAGGGUGACCGGCCACAUUGGGACUGAGAUACGGCCCAGACUCCUACGGGAGGCAGCAGUGGGGAAUAUUGCACAAUGGGCGGAAGCCUGAUGCAGCAACGCCGCGUGCGGGAUGACGGCCUUCGGGUUGUAAACCGCUUUCGCCUGUGACGAAGCGUGAGUGACGGUAAUGGGUAAAGAAGCACCGGCUAACUACGUG
Molecule: ribosomal RNA, 468 nt
Filed under: uncultured bacterium
Lineage: Bacteria
Description: partial 16S ribosomal RNA
Rfam family: Bacterial small subunit ribosomal RNA
Source: RNAcentral